Molecule: ribosomal RNA, 468 nt
Filed under: uncultured bacterium
Lineage: Bacteria
Description: partial 16S ribosomal RNA
Rfam family: Bacterial small subunit ribosomal RNA
Source: RNAcentral
GACGAACGCUGGCGGCGUGCUUAACACAUGCAAGUCGAACGGAAAGGCCCUGCUUUUGUGGGGUGCUCGAGUGGCGAACGGGUGAGUAACACGUGAGUAACCUGCCCUUGACUUUGGGAUAACUUCAGGAAACUGGGGCUAAUACCGGAUAGGAGCUCCUGCUGCAUGGUGGGGGUUGGACAGUUUCGGCGGUUGGGGAUGGACUCGCGGCUUAUCAGCUUGUUGGAGGGGUAGUGGCUUACGAAGGCUUAGACGGGUAGCCGGCCUGAGAGGGUGACCGGCCACAGUGGGAUUGAGAUACGGACCAGACUCAUACGGGAGGCAGCAGUGGGGAAUAGUGCACAAUGGGCGGGAGCCUGAUGCAGCAACGCCGCGGGCGGGAUAACGGCCUACGGGUUGUGAACCGCUUUCGCUUGUGACGAAGCGGGUGUGACGGUAAUGGGUAAAGGAGCACCGGCUAACUACGUG